AAUAAAUUGCCCGAUUUAAGGCUUAUUUUGAUAAAAUAUGUAAACUAUAAAAAGUAUUUAUUA
Molecule: transfer RNA, 63 nt
Filed under: Endeis sp. JZ-2022
Lineage: Eukaryota; Metazoa; Arthropoda; Pycnogonida; Pantopoda; Endeidae
Description: tRNA-Ile
Source: RNAcentral